GGUUGAUACAGCAUUUUCAUAAUAAAAUGAAAAGUUUUAAGUGUGUUUAAUAAAACUGGCGAGUUACCCGCCAAGGGUACUCAGCAACGGCGUGAUCCCGGCUGUUAUAGGAACUUAAAGUAUUCCCGGUCACGUGAUGCCUAAAAUCUAGCAGAUUUCUAGUUAUAUAUCUUGGAUUCCUUUACGACUGAAUCAUACAGAAUGCAAAUUAUAAAUUAAACGAUAAAAGUCUUCCAAAUAUCAAAUAUUUAUUGAUCUCAUCUUGGAUUGCUAACUAAACAAAUCUGCUAGAUUUUAGCAGAUCACGUGACCAGCGUCUACCAGGGUCUUCUCCCCUCGCCAAAUGAAAGACCCAGCUGGGUGCGAGGUUGGCGGAGCCGAGUAUCUUUAUGUCUGAUAAAACAGGCACUGCGAAUGUUUUAAAUUGCAUAAAACACGAUGGAUCUAGUAAGUUCAUUGGCGAAGUAAUUUUCAAAAAGUACGUUGUGUGAGUUGAGAAAAUCAAAGUUAAAGUUUAUGUAAAUCAAGGGAAAUCUCUAUCACAUCUAAAGAUUCGACAAGCUUAUGAUUUUUCUCAUGUGUUUUCCUCAUGAAUUAUUAAUAAGUUUUUGUAGUAUAGUAUUAACAAUAUACAUAAAAAGAUAUAUAUUCCUAUAUGAACAGAUGACUUAAACUAAGUUCUAAGAGUUUACUUCAAUUUACCUUUGAAAUCAUGGUUUAAUAAUUAAUUAUUCGUGCUCUUUUGUUUGGUGUGGCAAACUUAAUCUCUAUUGCCAUUUCCGUAACAGCAAGACCUUAAUAUUUUAUCGUCUAAUCCUCUCCUUUGGUUAUUUAAUUAAAAAGACAUAUUAAACAAAAUAUAGUUGUUGGACAAGGAACUGGUCCCCAAUCGCUGCUAAUCUUGUUGUUG
Paramuricea clavata is the source of this 910-nucleotide non-coding RNA. NCBI's taxonomy places the organism in Eukaryota, Metazoa, Cnidaria, Anthozoa, Malacalcyonacea, Plexauridae. The record is from the annotation of a GenBank genome assembly.